GACGAACGCUGGCGGCGUGCUUAACACAUGCCAGUCGAACGGAAAGGCCCUGCCUUUGUGGGGUGCUCGAGUGGCGAACGGGUGAGUAACACGUGAGUAACCUGCCCUUGACUUUGGGAUAACUUCAGGAAACUGGGGCUAAUACCGGAUAGGAGCUCCUGCUGCAUGGUGGGGGUUGGAAAGUUUCGGCGGUUGGGGAUGGACUCGCGGCUUAUCAGCUUGUUGGUGGGGUAGUGGCUUACCAAGGCUCUGACGGGUGGCCGGCCUGGGAGGGUGACCGGCCACAUGGGGACGGGGAUACGGCCCGAACUCCUACGGGGGGCAACGGUGGGGAAAUUUGCACAGUGGGCGGAACCCGAAUGCAGCAACGCCGCGGGCGGAAUGACGGCCUUCGGGUUGUAAACCGCUUUCGCCUGUGACGAAGCGUGAGUGACGGUAAUGGGUAAAGAAGCACCGGCUAACUACGUG
Molecule: ribosomal RNA, 468 nt
Filed under: uncultured bacterium
Lineage: Bacteria
Description: partial 16S ribosomal RNA
Rfam family: Bacterial small subunit ribosomal RNA
Source: RNAcentral